RNAcentral lists this unclassified non-coding RNA (332 nucleotides) under soil metagenome. RNAcentral's name for it is "partial contains small subunit ribosomal RNA and internal transcribed spacer 1". The record is from RNAcentral.
UUUCCGUAGGUGAACCUGCGGAAGGAUCAUUAAACGUUUCCACGUAUAUACCAAACCGCGAACUGUUUUCAAACCCACUGUGAAUAAGAUUGUAAAGGCGAUGAGCCCCGCGGGUGCAGUUAAAGUUUAGCUUUAAACCUCUAGUGAGAGACUUUAAAGCUACUCUUUCGCGAAUCGCUUGUCCGUAAGGGAGUCUUAUUUAUGGUAACUGUACCUCCAUGUUUAUUAACCAUUUUGAACCAACUUUGUAACUACUAAAUAGUUGAAGCGUAAAAACUUUAACGAUUUAUUAAAUAUAAGCACAAUUCUUAGCAACGGAUAUCUAGGCUCUC